This is a long non-coding RNA of Gallus gallus (chicken), 2056 nucleotides long. NCBI's taxonomy places the organism in Eukaryota, Metazoa, Chordata, Aves, Galliformes, Phasianidae. The record is from Ensembl.
GGUCCAGUGUGUGUCCUUUUCAGCUUUUCCAAGAAACGUUAGCUGCCUGCCGGUUAUCAGUAGUUACUGUUUUGACUUACUUCUUUCGAGACGUACCUGUGGCUUCUUCACUGAUAGAAGCUGCAUCUUCAUGGCAAAAUAUGUAAUGGGGGACAUGCGCAUUAUAAAACUUGAGCACCGCCCUGUACUUCAUAGUAUCUCUUGCUACUCAGAAGCAAGAGGCCAAUAAGGAGAAAUACACCCAUCAGGGUUUGGGGAUGAGGAGAAAUGAAAUGUUAAGAGCGCAAAGAACAAGACAGUUUUUGAUAUUAAUAGUGCACCUAGAUAGUGCAAAUAAAAUUUGAGGAAAGUGUGUUAUUCUUGCCAUGACAUAUUGAGAUGUUCUGAGAUGUCUGUUUUGUAAAAAGAUGGGACUUUGCCAUAGCCUGUUCUCUUUGAUUGGGAUGGGGAAGCACGGUUUUGCUUAUUAACAAAAACGAGGUGAUUCCAUUCCUAUUCCAGUUCCCCUUAUGAUGGAUAUCAAUGAAAAGAAGAAUAAAUCCUGGCAUUUAAAAAUAAAUAUCCUGUGAAAUAACUCUCAGGUGGAAACCCAUCUUAGCACACACAAUUAAUUAGUGCACCCACUGCAUUUCAAUCAACUUACAGCACUAAAAAUUAAUACUUUCAAAGAGUCUUUAUUGUUCUUAGCGUUCCAGUGUCUUCAAAGUCAAAGUGUAGUGCUUCUCUUACUUAGGAGAGGUUGUUGGAGAUCUGAAAAUGCAUCUCAAAUGGGAUCCCAAACUGAGCAGAGGGUUCAGAAACAGUGCGUGGUAUCUAAACUUGCAGAACAGGAACAGUUUCCACUUCUGAUGAAUUGAGACUGUGUAUAGUGGACUUGUCAUGCAGCAUCUUCUGCAAACUGAACUGUCUUUAAGCUAUCACUGCAUGGCUACUGCCCCCUAGUUUAAUGCAGUACGAGAUGACGAUUUUGUGGAGCUCAGUUUGAGUUCAGGUCCCCAACUUUGAGCACUUUUCAAUAGAAGUUUUGCACCACGUUGCCUCUAUGCUGAAAGAUGACACUGGAUACCUUCUGCCUUUGCUUUGGCUAAAAAUUUACUGGUGCACCAGUGUCAGUUCUAAAAGAGAGAACAUAGAGACAGCUCAGGAAGUGGAGGCAUGCUGAGGGUGAGGAAGAGGUGGGCUUUUCCAACCAGGAGCAACAGAAGAAAAGUGACCAGUGCUAACUGUAUGCAGUGCUGAGACGUAGUGGUUGUGCGGUGGGGAGAUCUGAUUUAGAAGCUGUGGAUAAAUGUUUAGGAGUGGACUUUUAAGUCCAUCCCUGGACAGGACAGUGUUGCUUUCUAGUCACAAUAGCUUGCUUUAUGCCCUAAAGAUAUUGUCUACUAUCUGCUUUUGCCCAGGAUGCAUGAAUAUAUUCCCGUUCUUGCUCCUGUAUUGAUUUUUCUUGGCUAACUUAACAUGCUAAUUCCUAAUACUGGUCAGGAAAAGCCAAAGAGAUUAGAAGUUCACUUCUGUUCAGCCAGAAGGGUAGAUACAUUUCCUUCUGCUUCUGUGGAGACAGUUAUGCUUGGCAAAGAGUAGUGAGCAAUUUGUCAGCAUAUCCCGAAUGUGAUAGAUAAGUGAAAAAUCCCUUCUAAACUUUUCUGUAAAGUUAAGAUGAGCCAAGUAGGAUGAUUUGCAUAAUUUCCUUACCCCAGAAUAGGAUUCAUCCCUACCCUCUUCCUCACAGUUCUCUUUCAUGCAGCCAGUUCUGGAAAGCCAGCAGUUGGCGAGAUGCUACCUAUACAGUAAUCAUAUGUAACCCCAAUUUUCCUCUUUUUAAGGGUAUAAAAGACAGUAAUCUAAUGGUUCCCAGCCCAAAGCCUUUUUUUUUUUUUCUUUUUUUCUUUUUUUUCUUCCAGUACACUUAGUAAAGUAAAAUGCUUAUAAUAAGUCUAACAGCUACCACAGUUUUCUGUGCUGUGUCCUAUCAUUUUGGUCUCUGAGCUCUACAUAGAAGGAGAACAGGAGAAAAGGAAACAUCUCAAAAUGCCAUUGUAUAUUUAGCUUAUAGAAA